Molecule: ribosomal RNA, 253 nt
Filed under: uncultured bacterium
Lineage: Bacteria
Description: partial 16S ribosomal RNA
Rfam family: Bacterial small subunit ribosomal RNA
Source: RNAcentral
UACGUAGGGUGCAAGCGUUAAUCGGAAUUACUGGGCGUAAAGCGUGCGCAGGCGGUUUCGUAAGUCUGUCGUGAAAUCCCCGGGCUUAACCUGGGAAUGGCGAUGGAGACUGCGAGGCUAGAGUUUGGCAGAGGGGGGUAGAAUUCCGCGUGUAGCAGUGAAAUGCGUAGAUAUGCGGAGGAACACCGAUGGCGAAGGCAAUCCCCUGGGCCUGCACUGACGCUCAUGCACGAAAGCGUGGGGAGCAAACAGG